RNAcentral lists this ribosomal RNA (523 nucleotides) under uncultured bacterium. RNAcentral's name for it is "bacterial SSU rRNA". It matches the Rfam family "Bacterial small subunit ribosomal RNA", at positions 8 to 518 of the family's 1533-position model. The record is from RNAcentral.
AGAGUUUGAUUAUGGCUCAGGAUGAAGCUAGCUACAGGCUUAACACAUGCAAGUCGAGGGGCAGCAGAUCGAUAGCUUGCUAUUGAUGCUGGCGACCGGCGCACGGGUGAGUAACGCGUAUCCAACCUUCCCUAUAGUAGAGGAUAGCCCGGCGAAAGUCGGAUUAAUACUCUAUGUUGAUUUUAGAGGGACAUCUGAAGAAUACCAAAGGUUCACCGCUAUAGGGAUGGGGAUGCGUCUGAUUAGGUAGUCGGCGGGGUAACGGCCCACCGAGCCAACGAUCAGUAGGGGUUCUGAGAGGAAGGUCCCCCACAUUGGAACUGAGACACGGUCCAAACUCCUACGGGAGGCAGCAGUGAGGAAUAUUGGUCAAUGGGCGAGAGCCUGAACCAGCCAAGUAAGCGUGCAGGAUGACGGCCCUAUGGGUUGUAAACUGCUUUUAUACGGGGAUAAAGUGAGGGACGUGUCUCUUUUUGUAGGUACCGUAUGAAUAAGGACCGGCUAAUUCCGUGCCAGCAGCCGC